Propithecus coquereli (Coquerel's sifaka) is the source of this 872-nucleotide RNA transcript. It is a transcript of the gene named phosphatidylinositol-glycan biosynthesis class F protein pseudogene, with no coding region annotated. The transcript has a single exon. NCBI's taxonomy places the organism in Eukaryota, Metazoa, Chordata, Mammalia, Primates, Indriidae. The record is from RefSeq and is a predicted model, not a curated record.
GAUAGCCACCCAAGAAAACGCCAUGAAAGAUAUUGAUAUCAAGAGACUACUGUAUACCCAUCUUUUGUGUGUAUUUUCAAUUAUACUAAGCGUCUUCAUUCCAUCAUUCUUCUUGGAGAACUUCUCAAUAUUGGAAACACAUUUGACAUGGUUGUGCAUCUGUUCUGGUUUUGUGACUGCUGUCAAUCCAGUGUUAUAUUUCGUAGUGAAACCAAAUGCAUCCUCUAAAAGAAGUUCAUUAUCACACAAGGUAACCAGAUUUUUGAAAUGCUGUAUCUACUUUCUUAUGUCUUGUUUCACCUUUCAUAUAAUUUUUGUUCUGUAUGGAGCACCACUAAUAGAGUUGGUGCUGGAAACAUUUUUAUUUGCAGUUAUCUUGUCUACUUUUACUACUAUACCUUGUUUAUGUUUGUUAGGACCAAACCUCAAAGCAUGGCUAAGAGCUUUCAGUAGAAAUGGAGUUACAUCAUUUGGGAAAAUAGUCUCCAGAUCACUACAAUUUCUAGUUGUGUAGGAGCAUGGCUUAGAGCACUUCCUAUUCCACUGGACUGGGAAAGACCAUGGCAGGUAUGGCCCAUCUCCUGUACGCUUGGGGCGACCUUUGGCUAUGUGGCUGGCCUUGUUACUUCACCACUCUGGAUAUACUGGAAUAGAAAGCAACUUACGUACAAGAACAAUUAAUUGGAGCAAAGGGAGAAGAUAUUUCUUUGUGCAGAUUCCAUAUGGGCUGUGCAGAAAUGUAUGUGGUCAAAGGCAAGCAGCUCCAUUUACAGCACUGUUUUUUAUGUAGUUACAUGAUGUGAUUGUAGCUUUUUAAACUAUGAAACCCCUGAGAGAUUGUACCUUCUAGUUGAAAUAAAGUAUUUAUAAUA